This 468-nucleotide ribosomal RNA is filed under the name uncultured bacterium. Its description in RNAcentral is "partial 16S ribosomal RNA". It matches the Rfam family "Bacterial small subunit ribosomal RNA", at positions 28 to 507 of the family's 1533-position model. The record is from RNAcentral.
GACGAACGCUGGCGGCGUGCUUAACACAUGCAAGUCGAACGGAAAGGCCCUGCUUUUGUGGGGUGCUCGAGUGGCGAACGGGUGAGUAACACGUGAGUAACCUGCCCUUGACUUUGGGAUAACUUCAGGAAACUGGGGCUAAUACCGGAUAGGAGCUCCUGCUGCAUGGUGGGGGUUGGAAAGUUUCGGCGGUUGGGGAUGGACUCGCGGCUUAUCAGCUUGUUGGUGGGGUAGUGGCUUACCAAGGCUUUGACGGGUAGCCGGCCUGAGAGGGUGACCGGCCACAUUGGGACUGAGAUACGGCCCAGACGCCUACGGGAGGCAGCAGUGGGGAAUAUUGCACAACGGGCGGAAGCCUGAUGCAGCAACGCCGCGUGCGGGAUGACGGCCUUCGGGUUGUGAACCGCUUUCGCCUGUGACGAAGCGUGAGUGACGGUAAUGGGUAAAGAAGCACCGGCUAACUACGUG